AGUGUGUACAUGCACAUGAUGUCAUUAUAGUUUGCCAGCUGGGAAGAGAUGCACAGGAACCCAUAGCAUCAAUAAGUACAGUGUGUCCUCAUAAAACU
This is a long non-coding RNA of Myotis brandtii (Brandt's bat), 98 nucleotides long. RefSeq lists it as uncharacterized. The record is from RefSeq and is a predicted model, not a curated record. NCBI's taxonomy places the organism in Eukaryota, Metazoa, Chordata, Mammalia, Chiroptera, Vespertilionidae. The transcript has 3 exons.